UACAGAGGGGGCAAGCGUUAUUCGGAAUUAUUGGGCGUAAAGGGCGCGUAGGCGGCCUAGCAAGUGGCAGGUGAAAUCCCUCGGCUUAACCGAGGAACUGCCUGCCAGACUGCCUGGCUCGAGACCGGGAGAGGUGAGUGGAAUUCCCAGUGUAGCGGUGAAAUGCGUAGAUAUUGGGAGGAACACCAGUGGCGAAGGCGGCUCACUGGACCGGAACUGACGCUGAGGCGCGAAAGCGUGGGGAGCAAACAGG
RNAcentral lists this ribosomal RNA (253 nucleotides) under uncultured bacterium. RNAcentral's name for it is "partial 16S ribosomal RNA". It matches the Rfam family "Bacterial small subunit ribosomal RNA", at positions 524 to 776 of the family's 1533-position model. The record is from RNAcentral.